Molecule: transfer RNA, 89 nt
Filed under: Agrocybe pediades
Lineage: Eukaryota; Fungi; Basidiomycota; Agaricomycetes; Agaricales; Agrocybaceae
Description: tRNA-Gln
Rfam family: tRNA
About the family: Transfer RNA (tRNA) molecules are approximately 80 nucleotides in length. Their secondary structure includes four short double-helical elements and three loops (D, anti-codon, and T loops).
Source: RNAcentral
GGCGCUGUAGUGUAGUGGUUAUCACUUGAGAUUCUGACUUCGUACGCUCGGAAUUUCUCAUAACCCCAGUUCGAAUCUGGGCAGUGCCU